AACUAACGCUGGCGGCGUGCCUAACACAUGCAAGUCGUACGAGAAAGUUGGCUUCGGCUGAUGAGUAAAGUGGCGCACGGGUGAGUAACGCGUGGAUAAUCUGCCUUUUAGUUGGGAAUAACGUACCGAAAGGUGCGCUAAUACCGGAUAAUACUGCAUAACUACUGUUGUGUAGUCAAAGAAGGCCUCUGUUUACAAGCUUUUGCUGAAAGAUGAGUCCGCGUACCAUUAGCUAGUUGGUAGGGUAAUGGCCUACCAAGGCUACGAUGGUUAGCUGGUCUGAGAGGAUGAUCAGCCACACUGGAACUGAGACACGGUCCAGACUCCUACGGGAGGCAGCAGUGAGGAAUAUUGCGCAAUGGGGGCAACCCUGACGCAGCAACGCCGCGUGAGUGAGGAAGGUUUUCGGACCGUAAAGCUCUGUCGAGCGGGAAGAAAUGUAUCGUGGCUAAUAUCCAUGAUAUUUGACGGUACCGCUAAAGGAGCACCGG
Molecule: ribosomal RNA, 491 nt
Filed under: uncultured bacterium
Lineage: Bacteria
Description: bacterial SSU rRNA
Rfam family: Bacterial small subunit ribosomal RNA
Source: RNAcentral